This 776-nucleotide ribosomal RNA is filed under the name Leuconostoc mesenteroides subsp. dextranicum. Its description in RNAcentral is "bacterial SSU rRNA". It matches the Rfam family "Bacterial small subunit ribosomal RNA", at positions 38 to 808 of the family's 1533-position model. The record is from RNAcentral. Lineage: Bacteria; Bacillati; Bacillota; Bacilli; Lactobacillales; Lactobacillaceae.
GGNNGAGGANCUAUACUGCAAGUCGAACGCACAGCGAAAGGUGCUUGCACCUUUCAAGUGAGUGGCGAACGGGUGAGUAACACGUGGACAACCUGCCUCAAGGCUGGGGAUAACAUUUGGAAACAGAUGCUAAUACCGAAUAAAACUUAGUGUCGCAUGACAAAAAGUUAAAAGGCGCUUCGGCGUCACCUAGAGAUGGAUCCGCGGUGCAUUAGUUAGUUGGUGGGGUAAAGGCCUACCAAGACAAUGAUGCAUAGCCGAGUUGAGAGACUGAUCGGCCACAUUGGGACUGAGACACGGCCCAAACUCCUACGGGAGGCUGCAGUAGGGAAUCUUCCACAAUGGGCGAAAGCCUGAUGGAGCAACGCCGCGUGUGUGAUGAAGGCUUUCGGGUCGUAAAGCACUGUUGUAUGGGAAGAACAGCUAGAAUAGGAAAUGAUUUUAGUUUGACGGUACCAUACCAGAAAGGGACGGCUAAAUACGUGCCAGCAGCCGCGGUAAUACGUAUGUCCCGAGCGUUAUCCGGAUUUAUUGGGCGUAAAGCGAGCGCAGACGGUUUAUUAAGUCUGAUGUGAAAGCCCGGAGCUCAACUCCGGAAUGGCAUUGGAAACUGGUUAACUUGAGUGCAGUAGAGGUAAGUGGAACUCCAUGUGUAGCGGUGGAAUGCGUAGAUAUAUGGAAGAACACCAGUGGCGAAGGCGGCUUACUGGACUGCAACUGACGUUGAGGCUCGAAAGUGUGGGUAGCAAACAGGAUAGAACCCCCCGCGGGAAAAA